CCCUUAGAGUUUGAUCCUGGCUCAGGAUGAACGCUGGCGGCGCGCCUAACACAUGCAAGUCGAACGGCACCCAUCUUCGGAUGGAAGCGAGUGGCGAACGGCUGAGUAACACGUGGAGAACCUGCCCCCUCCCCCGGGAUAGCCGCCCGAAAGGACGGGUAAUACCGGAUACCCCGGGGUGCCGCAUGGCACCCCGGCUAAAGCCCCGACGGGAGGGGAUGGCUCCGCGGCCCAUCAGGUAGACGGCGGGGUGACGGCCCACCGUGCCGACAACGGGUAGCCGGGUUGAGAGACCGACCGGCCAGAUUGGGACUGAGACACGGCCCAGACUCCUACGGGAGGCAGCAGUGGGGAAUCUUGCGCAAUGGGGGGAACCCUGACACAGCGACGCCGCGUGCGGGACGGAGGCCUUCGGGUCGUAAACCGCUUUCAGCAGGGAAGAGUCAAGACUGUACCUGCAGAAGAAGCCCCGGCUAACUACGUGCCAGCAGCCGCGGUAAUACGUAGGGGGCGAGCGUUAUCCGGAUUCAUUGGGCGUAAAGCGCGCGUAGGCGGCCCGGCAGGCCGGGGGUCGAAGCGGGGGGCUCAACCCCCCGAAGCCCCCGGAACCUCCGCGGCUUGGGUCCGGUAGGGGAGGGUGGAACACCCGGUGUAGCGGUGGAAUGCGCAGAUAUCGGGUGGAACACCGGUGGCGAAGGCGGCCCUCUGGGCCGAGACCGACGCUGAGGCGCGAAAGCUGGGGGAGCGAACAGGAUUAGAUACCCUGGUAGUCCCAGCCGUAAACGAUGGACGCUAGGUGUGGGGGGACGAUCCCCCCGGGCCGCAGCCAACGCAUUAAGCGUCCCGCCUGGGGAGUACGGCCGCAAGG
Molecule: ribosomal RNA, 868 nt
Filed under: uncultured bacterium
Lineage: Bacteria
Description: bacterial SSU rRNA
Rfam family: Bacterial small subunit ribosomal RNA
Source: RNAcentral